Molecule: non-coding RNA, 208 nt
Filed under: Fructilactobacillus fructivorans
Lineage: Bacteria; Bacillati; Bacillota; Bacilli; Lactobacillales; Lactobacillaceae
Description: Lactobacillus fructivorans T-box sequence
Rfam family: T-box leader
About the family: Uncharged tRNA acts as the effector for transcription antitermination of genes in the T-box leader family. T-boxes are found upstream of many aminoacyl-tRNA synthetase genes and some amino acid biosynthetic genes usually in Gram-positive bacteria.
Source: RNAcentral
AAUACGACGAUAAAGAGGACGAGUACCAUUAAUUACUUUUUCAGCGAGUCGAAGAUAGUGGGAGUUCGGUAAAGGAUUAAUGUGAAAAACACCUUGAGUUUUCAGUUUGAACUAAGUAGGACUGACGGUUACAAUCCGUUAUCAUUGUUCGAGUUGGUUUAUGUAAUAUAAACAAGAUGGGUGGUACCGCGAUGACUUCGUCCCUUUG